RNAcentral lists this transfer RNA (73 nucleotides) under Ixodes scapularis (black-legged tick). It matches the Rfam family "tRNA". From Rfam's summary of the family: Transfer RNA (tRNA) molecules are approximately 80 nucleotides in length. Their secondary structure includes four short double-helical elements and three loops (D, anti-codon, and T loops). Lineage: Eukaryota; Metazoa; Arthropoda; Arachnida; Ixodida; Ixodidae. The record is from Rfam by way of RNAcentral.
UCCUAGUUAGCUCAGUUGGUAGAGCGCUACACUGGAAACAGAGAGGUCCCUGGUUCGAUACCAGAACCAGGCA